RNAcentral lists this long non-coding RNA (1025 nucleotides) under Homo sapiens (human). RNAcentral's name for it is "HSALNT0322811". Lineage: Eukaryota; Metazoa; Chordata; Mammalia; Primates; Hominidae. The record is from RNAcentral.
AGUGGGAAGUAUUCUGGAUACCUUGGCAAGACCCAUGGGUCUUGCGUCAUAGCCUGAGAGAUAAAUCCUACAAUGAUUUAGGGGUCUGCCAUACUUAUGAAGAUUUUAGGGACUCAAUGGUUUGGGCUAUGCAGGGAUAUCCCCUUUAAGAUGCCAAGAACCUGGACAUCCUCCACCAGAACAAUCUCACAACAUGUCAAGUUUCCAGAGAUUGCUACUGCCUUCUUAAGCAGAUUUUCAAUGACCUAAGUUCCACUGGAAGUAGACCUAACAUAACUAGGAUGAACAGGAAACCUCUGAAUGUGAAAGUGAACACUAUUAAUACUUACAUGAAGGCAACAGGCAUGAACUGGAACAACCUUGGCCAUGCUGGGACGUAUGUUCACCCUAAGCAAAGAUCAGGAAUUCAGGCAGGGCUUGGCUGAGUGACUUCUCUGUUCCACAUGGCAUUGACACGUCUCAGGGCCUCUCCAUGUGUUUUCUCGAGCAAUGUGUUUGGUCUUCUGGAAUUAUGAUUCAUGGAUUCAAGAGACCACGGUAGAAGCUUCUAAUCCUCUUAAAAAGCAAGACUGAUCAUGGGAAACUGUCCUGUCCACUAGUACAUUAUUUCAAUCAGAGGAAGCUACUCUCUGAUUUGUAACCUACUUCUGUCUCCAGGACAACCAUAAGACCAAAGGACUCCUUGGACACCUAGUCAGGAGGGUGGUGAGUUGAACUGAGCAAGCUUGAGCAUCUCAAACUGAAGUGGACACUUGCGCUUUAUACAGAGUAAGGCCCAAAUUGAAUUAACCUGGAGUGAGUCUGCAACAAGCCUAGCGUCUGCAUUUCUAUAACUGAUCUCAGCUAACACUGGAGCUACUUAAAUUCCCAAUGAUUUUAGAAAACUAUUUUUUUUAAAGUGUGUGAUUUGAAGGUAAAUGAACCUAUUCCAAUUUAACUGCUUUAUUUUUGUGGUUGCAUAUAUAAUCAUAUUUAAGCAAUUUAAAAUCCAAACUCCCUUUUGGAGCUGUUUUAUUUUCUGAAGG